GUGAGGAAUAUUGCGCAAUGGAGGCAACUCUGACGCAGCCAUUCCGCGUGCAGGAAGAAGGCGCUACGCGUUGUAAACUGCUUUUAACCGGGAAGAAACCCCAGGACGUGUCCUGGGUUGACGGUACCGGAGGAAUAAGCACCGGCUAACUUCGUGCCAGCAGCCGCGGUAAUACGAAGGGUGCAAGCGUUAUCCGGAUUCAUUGGGUUUAAAGGGUGCGUAGGCGGAGCGUUAAGUCAGUGGUGAAAUCCUGCAGCUUAACUGUAGACUUGCCAUUGAUACUGGCGCUCUUGAGUGCGCUUGAAGUGGGCGGAAUGUGCCGUGUAGCGGUGAAAUGCUUAGAUAUGGCACAGAACACCAAUUGCGAAGGCAGCUCACUAAGGCGAUACUGACGCUGAGGCACGAAAGCGUGGGGAUCGAACAGGAUUAGAUACCCUUGUAGUCC
RNAcentral lists this ribosomal RNA (445 nucleotides) under uncultured bacterium. RNAcentral describes it as "partial 16S ribosomal RNA". It matches the Rfam family "Bacterial small subunit ribosomal RNA", at positions 354 to 796 of the family's 1533-position model. The record is from RNAcentral.